UCCCUGGUGGCUCAGAUGGUAAAGAAUCUGCCUGCAAUGCAGGAUAUCUGGGUUCAAUCCCUGGGUUGGGAA
This 72-nucleotide transfer RNA is filed under the name Ovis aries (sheep). It matches the Rfam family "tRNA". Rfam says of the family: Transfer RNA (tRNA) molecules are approximately 80 nucleotides in length. Their secondary structure includes four short double-helical elements and three loops (D, anti-codon, and T loops). Further hydrogen bonds mediate the characteristic L-shaped molecular structure. tRNAs have two regions of fundamental functional importance: the anti-codon, which is responsible for specific mRNA codon recognition, and the 3' end, to which the tRNAs corresponding amino acid is attached (by aminoacyl-tRNA synthetases). tRNAs cope with the degeneracy of the genetic code in two manners: having more than one tRNA (with a specific anti-codon) for a particular amino acid; and 'wobble' base-pairing, i.e. permitting non-standard base-pairing at the 3rd anti-codon position. Lineage: Eukaryota; Metazoa; Chordata; Mammalia; Artiodactyla; Bovidae. The record is from Rfam by way of RNAcentral.